GACGAACGCUGGCGGCGCGCUUAACACAUGCAAGUCGAGCGAGAACCAGCCCUUCGGGGCUGGGGAGAGCGGCGAACGGGUGAGUAACACGUGGGUAAUCAACCCUCGGUACUGGGAUAGCCCGGGGAAACCCGGAUUAAUACCGGAUGGCCCUUCGAAUCCUCGGAUUUGAGGGAAAAGGUAGCUUCGGCCUCCGACCGAGGACGAGCCCGCGGCGGAUUAGCUUGUUGGUGGGGUAACGGCCUACCAAGGCGACGAUCCGUAGCUGGUCUGAGAGGACGAUCAGCCACACUGGGACUGAGACACGGCCCAGACUUCUACGGAAGGCAGCAGUGGGGAAUCUUGCGCUAAUGCGGGAAACCGUGACGCAGCGACGCCGCGUGGGGGAAGAAGGCCUUCGGGUUGUAAACCUCUUUCAGGAGGGACGAAGCUACUCGGGUUAAUAGCCCAGAGGGUGACGGUACCUCCAGAAGAAGCCCCGGCUAACUACGUGCCAGCAGCCGCGGUAA
RNAcentral lists this ribosomal RNA (509 nucleotides) under uncultured bacterium. RNAcentral's name for it is "partial 16S ribosomal RNA". It matches the Rfam family "Bacterial small subunit ribosomal RNA", at positions 28 to 523 of the family's 1533-position model. The record is from RNAcentral.